AACAGGAUUAGAUACCCUGGUAGUCCACGCCGUAAACGAUGUCGACUUGGAGGUUGUGCCCUUGAGGCGUGGCUUCCGGAGCUAACGCGUUAAGUCGACCGCCUGGGGAGUACGGCCGCAAGGUUAAAACUCAAAUGAAUUGACGGGGGCCCGCACAAGCGGUGGAGCAUGUGGUUUAAUUCGAUGCAACGCGAAGAACCUUACCUACUCUUGACAUCCAGAGAACUUUCCAGAGAUGGAUUGGUGCCUUCGGGAACUCUGAGACAGGUGCUGCAUGGCUGUCGUCAGCUCGUGUUGUGAAAUGUUGGGUUAAGUCCCGCAACGAGCGCAACCCUUAUCCUUUGUUGCCGGCGGUCCGGCCGGGAACUCAAAGGAGACUGCCAGUGAUAAACUGGAGGAAGGUGGGGAUGACGUCAAGUCAUCAUGGCCCUUACGAGUAGGGCUACACACGUGCUACAAUGGCGCAUACAAAGAGAAGCGACCUCGCGAGAGCAAGCGGACCUCAUAAAGUGCGUCGUAGUCCGGAUUGGAGUCUGCAACUCGACUCCAUGAAGUCGGAAUCGCUAGUAAUCGUAGAUCAGAAUGCUACGGUGAAUACGUUCCCGGGCCUUGUACACACCGCCCGUCACACCAUGGGAGUGGGUUGCAAAAGAAGUAGGUAGCUUAACCUUCGGGAGGGCGCUUACCACUUUGUGAUUCAUGACUGGGGUGAAGUCGUAACAAGGUAACC
This 730-nucleotide ribosomal RNA is filed under the name uncultured bacterium. RNAcentral's name for it is "bacterial SSU rRNA". It matches the Rfam family "Bacterial small subunit ribosomal RNA", at positions 771 to 1501 of the family's 1533-position model. The record is from RNAcentral.